AGUACAUCAGGGGUGCGCACCGGGUGUCACCACACCUGGUGACGCCUCUGAUACAGGGGGCAGUGGCGCAUAUUACAUGUUAGAGAUGGAGACAGGUAGCUGUGUCUCCAUCUCAGAAAAAGUCAUGACCGCGAUCGCGGAGCGACAGCAGCAACAGAGAGCUCUGUAGCAGAUGUCUGGGGGGAGCUGCUGGCUGUGCAUACAGCUCCCUCCGUCCACAGGCCCACAGUGCAGCUGCUACCAGUCUGCCCUCAGCCCCAGCAUUUACUAGGAAGGAUGAGCCGGUGACAUUAGUGCAUAACGACAGUGAAGAUUGAGAUUUUGAAAACAAAGGAAUGGCAUACAGAAGUCACACAGUGAUUAUAUAAGUAAAUGCUGCCCCUUAGUGACUACUUGUGAAUUUGCACUACAGCAAGCAGAAAACUUGAGGAUCAGGGACAAACACAGGAUUUUCAGGCCACCUACCAUGUUUGGGACAUGUUUUAAAGAGUCCAGAUGCAGGUAAUCUAAAUAUAUAUACUCUAUGUAUCUCCCCAAGCUCUGGCACUCAGUGGGUUCAACGCAAUUACUGUGCCUGGUGCCCUCCACAUGUGAGCCUGCCCGGCUCCAUGAUACACACUUGCUCCAACGGCAGCACUCAAGACUCUCUCAUAAAAGAUCACAGGACACGGCUCUCCUUAGGCAACGUUUCAGCACUACCCGUCGCUUUUAUCAAGCCAUAUAUGUGGGCCACCGCUGAUUAUUACUGUGUUAUGCUGUUGGACCAAUAAACC
Pseudophryne corroboree (corroboree frog) is the source of this 773-nucleotide long non-coding RNA. RefSeq lists it as uncharacterized. Lineage: Eukaryota; Metazoa; Chordata; Amphibia; Anura; Myobatrachidae. The transcript is spliced from 4 exons. The record is from RefSeq and is a predicted model, not a curated record.